AUUUGAAUGGUAUACCACUGGAAGAAGACACAUUAGCUCAAGAAAUGUUUCCAGUAUUUGGGAAAUGUAGGAAAAUAGUAACUAGAAGGAACAUGGAAUUGGAUGGCCAUUGCUAGCCUCAACUGAUGCUCUGGAAGAAAAUAACAAAAAAGCUGAGAACAUUUAUUAGCAAUUAAAAGUUAAAUGUGAAGGCCCAGAGGGUCUCCUAGGUAGCCUGUAAAGCAAGGCUAAAAGCAGAAACACAGAGAAAGCCCAAUCCCACAAUGAUAGUGAUAGAGCUUGAAAGAGGUGCUCAGCUAAAGCAGAUCUACUGCAGUAGGACCUCAAAACAAGGGGCAGGCGUGGUGGUAAAAAUUUUUUUGGGCUCCAGCAUUGUAAUGAGUGACAAGGUUAGAGCAGUAGCUACAGGAUGUUACUGUAUAGCGAGUACAUAGAGACUUUUUUUUUGUCUUUUGUCUUUUUAGGGCCACACCUGCGGCAUAUGGAGGUUCCCAGGCUAGUGGUCUAAUCAGAGCUGUUGCUGCCAGCCUACACCAGAGCCACAGCAAUGCCAGAUCCGAGCCGCAUCUGCAACCUAUACCACAACUUACGGCCAUGCUGGAUCCUUAACUCACUGAGCGAGGCCAGGGAUCGAACCUGCAACCUCAUGGUUCCUAGUCGGAUUCGUUUCCACUGCGCCAAGUUGACAACUCCCGUAGAGACUUUUGAAAGUAGUUAAUAGAAUAUGGUCACUAAAGACUAAAUCAAAGGGCAGCAAAAAAGGACAUUGCUGAAUUAUACUAUCAAAAACCAGUUUUAAAGAAGUCAAGAAAAAAUUUUUUUGGCAGGGGGUGGAGGAAAGAAUCGAAGGGGGUUGCCUCAUGCUCAAAGAGACUUAUUGCAAGAGCCAAGCAAGGAGAAUGGGCUGGGGCUGGAGGGAGAGUGGAGUUGAGGAGGUGGUGGUGGGGAGGUGGCUCAUGUGCAAAAGAUUUGAACUCCAAGAAAAGUAUCCUCAUGUAGACAAAAUUACUAGUCAGGGACCAUGCUUUUCAUUCUAUUCAGAGCAGAAAAACCAUAUUCUCCAUUUUUCUUCAAUAGAGUAGUCAGCACAUUCAGCAUCACUUUUCUGCCCUUUAGCAGCCCUAAAAGAAUGUUUCUUUAGAAAACUCUUUCUGAGGUGCAGUGUGGAGGUUUAUUUUAGAUGUGACCAUCUGUGUGAGGUGCAAGGGUUAUUUUUAAAGGAGCUCUUUCAUUUGUCUUUGUGGGAGAAAGGUUGCCCCAAUCAAAAUGACCUCAGUUUGUGGGGCACCUGUGAAACUAGGCAGGAAUUGGCUCAAGUACAAAAGACUUUGUUUUCCUUUUUCUUUCCUAUGGUAGUUAACUUGAUUUCUUCUCUCCAUAAAUUCUUUAAUUGGUUUAAUAAAAUACACAGCAAACUGAGUGCCCUUUUCUUUUCUUUCCAUUGUGAAUAUUUAAUGAAGUUUAAGUAACUGAAACAUUGCAUUUUGUGCAAAAAGGAGAAAAUUUAAAGGUUUCUGAAUAACUAGAAAUACUUAAAAGAAGAGAAAUUUUAAAGCAGUAGGGCUUUCUUUGAUAAUAAUUGUCACAUUCACAUUAGUCACUCUUAAAUAAAACCUGCCCUAGCAUUCUGUAGGCAAUAAAGAAGGCAUAAUCCCUCUUAUUUUUAUUUCUGUAGUGUGUGAAGUUUUACUAGCGGGAGUGUUAAACUAAUUUUUUUAAGACAAACAAGAGAUUUAAUGUUAACAGUUGCUGUGCCCUAAAGCUAACCAGACAGCUGGGGAUUGCCCCAAAUUGAUGUAAGGUUGUAGCAUUUUCCAAGAGAGUCUUAAUUUUUCUUUUGAGAGAGGAUCUUAUAUAAUGAUAGGAGGGAAGGGGUUCAGAAUUUCAAUCACCUACACAUUUGUCACUGACCCUUCCAGUGGCUUCAGGUGUAUCAGUUAUUGUUAAGAGGUAAAAUUUACCAAGUGAAGGGGCACAGAGGAAAUAAUAUAACCAGAACCUGGUAGACUUUUCUGUGGAUGCAUGGCCUUUAGAAAUAGUGGCCUGGUGGGGGCAGAGCUACUGCAAGGAUCAUGACAUUGAAGUAGAAAGAGUCAGGAAGAAAUAUCCUGCCAUUCCUCUCUACCUAUUGUCUGAUCCCAGAAGACAAGGGAGCCUGGCCGAUGCUAUUAUGGUGGUGACAUGACAGUGCAGAAAAUGCUGGGCAUGGCUAUUGGGAAUGGGUGGUCAUAGUCCCUUAUCUCUUUUCACUUCAUGGGUCUUUCUAUUUCUGCUGUAAGUUACCACACAUUUAGUGACUUAGAACAACACAAAUGUAUUUUCUUAUAGUUCUUCAAUCAAACUCUGAAAUUGUCUCACCGGGCUAAAAUCACAGGGAGUCUGCAUUCCUUCCUGCUGGAGGUCAUAAAGGAGAAUCCAUUGCCAAGUCUUUUCCACCUUCUAGAGGCUGCCUGUAUUCCUUGGCUCAUGACUCCUUUCUUCCAUCGUCAAAGCCAGAAAUAGCAGGUUGAAUUUUCUUCCCAUUCUCCCUUUUCUAUCUCUCGUAUUUAGAAGGGCUCUUGGGAUUAAUUACAUUGGAUCCACCUGCAGAGUCCAGGGGGCAUACUUACCCAUUGUGAGGUCAUUGGAUUAACCUUAAUUCUCCUUUGCUUGGUAACCUGACAUAGUCAUAGGAUUAGGUCAUGGACUUGGCCGGAGGAGCCUAUCACACAUUGUUAGUUCGAAGACAUUGCCUAGGAGUAUUAAAGAUUCUCCUCUUGCCUCACAGUGUAGCAGAUAGAAUAAUGACCAAAGGUCCCAACUAACUAUGUGUUAAGGAUUUUCAUGUACCUUCUCUCCUGCUAUUUGUUGCUGAAUGAAGCAUGAAGAUGUCACUAGUGGAAACUAUAUUGUUACAGACUUACAAAGAUUCCAUUUGAACAUAGUUUUGAAUUAGAGGAUUUAUCAACUGUUCUCUUACUGGAUCUCUGUGAUAUUUCAGGAUGUUUUAGUUUCUGGCCUUGGCAAAAGAUCAUAUUUUUGGACAGUUAUCUUCAGUAGGUGUUCAGUAAAGUCUCCAAGGGAAGGAAAACCUAGAUAGUGGACUAUGCAUCUUUCUCAGGUGAGGGAGGAAAUUACUAUACCACUUGAUAUUAGUAAUUGUGCUUUCAGAGAUUUACAGCUAUUUUACAAAUUAGAUCCAUUUGAGGUCUAAAGAAAAUGCCUCUUUUCGUCCAUUAUCUGUAUUACAACUGACUCAAAUCAAUCUGACUAUCCAUAUUAAGUUCUUUUUGGUAGAUGAUGUUAGCCAGUGAUGGGUGCAGGUUAGCUGUGCCUCUGAAACCUUGCUACCAGGUUAAAAUCAAAGCAAGAUGCAAACAAGGUUUUGCCACAUAUAACAGAUAUUUAUUAAGUCAGCAUUCAUUAACAAGUUGACAUGAAAUAUUUUAGAAGCUUGUUCUGAAGGCUUGAUAAAUUUUCAUAUCCAUCUUCUAAGUGCUGUGACAAAUUGAGAAUGAAGACAAAAGGGGAAAGGAAAGCAGAUAAAGACUAAAGAGUAUGGCACAGUUUCUCCUCUGUACAUGUGAUAACUGGCAUAGUGGUUAGACCAUGGACUUUAGAUCACACGGGACUGCAUUUGAAUCCCAGAUCUGCGACUUCCUGACAGUGUCAUCUAGGGAAAGCUGCUUAUACUUUUCUAUGUCUCAUAAUCUUUAAAAUGGGGAUUUUAAGAGUAUAUCUGAGACAAAAGGUUGCUGUAAGGAUUAAAUGCUUAAGAAAGUGCAGAGGGAAAAAAAUGCCGACACAGGGUAAGCACUGUGUGUUAGCUAUCAUUAUUAUUAUCUCAAAGAGGAGAUGAAAGGACAUGGUUCUCUCAGUGGGAAAAUGGGCCUACUGAUCCUAAUCUCCAGAGUUAGAAAUCUUUUGCCCUUAUCAUGGCAAAGUCUCACAAGUCACGGCAGGCCUGCACCUGGCAAGCCUCACCCAUAGAGGGUCUGUCUACUCAGGUAAGACCUGAGGCAGAAAGGCUAGGAGGAGAAUUCCCCCCAGGGCAGGCCGCUUGCCCUCGGGAAGACAAAAGAAAGUGAGCUGAGCAUGACCUGUUAACUCUUUCCAAAUUUUCAAGUUGGAUGAGUUGAUCUACAUUGUCUGAGAUGAGAGUAAAGGCACAGAGCAGGGCCAGGAUUGUUGGGGGAAAACACCCACUCACAGAAAACAAGAAUAAAGACGUUCCUCACAACUGACCUUUCCCAUAGGACAUAGCAAGGACCCUUCCAAUUGGCAGCAAUAAAAUGUCAAUUUUAGCAGAAGUAUAGAGUUUUAAACUUAUUACUGAUGACUCAAGAGGAAUAGGCCUCAGGUAUGAAAGGUGCAGAUAGUUAAAAAUGACAACUGUCUGCCUUUUCCCAUUUCUCACCCCUGCUUGACUCUGGUCAAGUUUAUGUUCUCUCACUGCAUACAAAGAAGAAGGCCACUACCAGUCGCUACCUCACACUCUUCCAACUCUGUGACACAAAAGUUAAGGCCUCCUUUACUGUCAAACUGAAAAUGCUAAGGAGAUACUCUGAUGGGUCAACCUGUCACAUGCCCACCUCUGGCCAGUUCCUAGGCCUGGAGAACAGUCUGACUGGCUCACCUACUGUCCCCUGUGGUUUAGCAAAUGGAUUUUAUGCUUGGCAGUUCAAAAGCAAUCACAUUAGAAUGGAAGGCCCCUCAAUUUUUUCCUGGGCUUCUGAGAGAAUCCUAGGUCCUUGCCUAUUUGGUUGCAAAGUGGCUGGAGUGAUACUGAAUGAAUAUACAAAUGAAUUUGGCAGUCUUGGGGACUGUAAGAUUGAGAAUGUCUCUAGUUUUGCUAUUUUAGACUAUUCUUUAUCUAGCCUCUAAAAUAUGUCUUAAAAUCUAUUUUUAUGAGUCCUAAAUAAUCAUAAUUACAUCUUUUAGGGGAUUUAUAUAAAUAAAAAUAAGCUGUUUCUGAUAUGGCCUAUGGCAACCAAUUAAUAAUUUGGAGCAUCAUUAGGUUCCUGGAAAUCUCUUAAAUCACUAUUUGGCCAAAUAAAAAGCUGGAAGAGGCCAAUAUAGUUCAGAUAUAAUGAAAAGUGUAGCAGUGUAAACACUCGCAAUUAAAUAGAGACUACAGUUACUCAGGCUGGGAGAACUGAGAGACUCGUAAAAUGAAAUUAUCUAUUUUUCAUGGACUUUUGAACUUAUAUUUCAGUUCCACCAGCUUUUCCAUGUACUCCUCAUUCAAUUGUGGUUUUUUGGUGGCAUAGGAUAAAGUAAACACUCAACCUAGUAUUUGAUAAUCAGUAGACGAUAAUCUUAAGUUAAAUCCUUCCUUAGAAAUUCAGAGGCAAGAUUUUCACCUUUUGAUUAAGAUACAGGAUCAGAGCCUGAGAUUAAGAAUUGCAAGGCAGGAGUACUUGGGAAUACAAUCCUAGGGAUCAGGAGUGCAGGGAAGUGGGGUGAAAAAAAGAAAUUUUUAAUGAAGUUGGUUACUGCCACAGGCAACUGUCCCCUCUAGGGACCCUCAUGAAACAUGUCUAGGAGCUUAUUCCCCACUGAUCAAGGCUGGCCCCAAGGACAUGCAUUUUCUCACACUUCCAUUGUACACUAAUGUGAGUUUUCCGUGAGUUUUCUUGGGUAGCCCACUCUGGAUGUCAGAGAAAUCCCCUUGUUGAUUUUCUCUUCUCCAGUUGCUAACUGGGUUAGCAGGUCCUCAUUUGUCAAUGUCUUAUAUAAUACAUGAAUGGCUUCAUCCAAUUUUAGGUCUUUCAGUAGCUUUGCAGUUUCACUUGAAGAGUGACUUGUCCUACUUGCAUUGUAUUCUUGGUAACAGCUGGCAAGUUAAUGACUGUCCAAGAAGGAAUCUGGCAUGUUGGGUUGAGAUAGAAGCUGAUAGACAAACAGAGAUAAUGACAGUGCCAAUAAACGGGGUGGUGCUGGGUCACCAAUGGUCAGUUCCUUUGUAUUAUGACCACUUGCUCCCCUCUAAAGCAAGUUAUAACCUAUAACUGUAGGAAGUCAGAAUAGGAGGAGCCCUUUCAUCUCAGGACCACUAGAGGACCUUAAAGGUGGGUCUCUCUCUCUCUAGGGUUCCCAAAGAUUGGUAGCCCAAUUCCAAAUGACAUGCCCUAGCUUGCUGACCCUUGCUUCGGCUAUUAGACUAUAGAUUCCACUUGCAUUAGCUUGCAGUAGCUUGACUGUGUUUCAUAUUUUAAAGGCAAGUCAAAACAGAUGAGUCAUGUUUCUUUUGGGAAAGUUGACCAAAUUCUGCUAUUUUAUCUGGGAUUUCCAUAGAGACUCCUUCAGACAGGGGCCUGUGUACUUGGUAAUGUUUAUUGAGCAAGUUGAUAGAGUUGAGGAACUCAAGCUCCCACCUUAGAGUUCCUCAGAAAUAGAAUUUCUGAUUUUCUUUGUCUGCUUGGAUGUAAGAUGACUUUUAUUGAAAGCAUACACACACACACAGUUUUCAGGAGCUUGAAACCUGUGAUUUUAGCAAAA
Molecule: long non-coding RNA, 6480 nt
Filed under: Sus scrofa (pig)
Lineage: Eukaryota; Metazoa; Chordata; Mammalia; Artiodactyla; Suidae
Description: lncRNA (ENSSSCG00005012274.1)
Source: RNAcentral